RNAcentral lists this small RNA (131 nucleotides) under Salmonella enterica subsp. enterica serovar Potsdam. RNAcentral's name for it is "RtT sRNA". It matches the Rfam family "RtT RNA". From Rfam's summary of the family: This family represents a bacterial cis-regulatory element known as RtT RNA. The exact function of RtT is unknown although it is thought that it may be involved in changing the cellular response in relation to amino acid starvation. RNAcentral also lists the same sequence under 23 other names. The record is from RNAcentral. Lineage: Bacteria; Pseudomonadati; Pseudomonadota; Gammaproteobacteria; Enterobacterales; Enterobacteriaceae.
AUUCUACCCAUGCGGGGAAGGAUGAGAAGCUUCGACUAAGGUUCGAUUCGAGCGCAGCGAGAACGCGUUGCCGCAGGCAACGACCCGAAGGGCGAAGCGCGCAGCGCUGAGUCAUCCUUCCCCCACCACCA